GACGAACGCUGGCGGCGUGCUUAACACAUGCAAGUCGAACGAUGAAGCUCUUCGGAGUGGAUUAGUGGCGAACGGGUGAGUAACACGUGGGAAAUCUGCCCUGCACUCUGGGACAAGCCUUGGAAACGAGGUCUAAUACCGGAUAUGACCUUCCUCUGCAUGGGGGUUGGUGGAAAGCUCCGGCGGUGCAGGAUGAUCCCGCGGCCUAUCAGCUUGUUGGUGGGGUAAUGGCCUACCAAGGCGACGACGGGUAGCCGGCCUGAGAGGGCGACCGGCCACACUGGGACUGAGACACGGCCCAGACUCCUACGGGAGGCAGCAGUGGGGAAUAUUGCACAAUGGGCGAAAGCCUGAUGCAGCGACGCCGCGUGAGGGAUGACGGCCUUCGGGUUGUAAACCUCUUUCAGCAGGGAAGAAGCGCAAGUGACGGUACCUGCAGAAGAAGCACCGGCUAACUACGUGCCAGCAGCCGCGGUAAUACGUAGGGUGCGAGCGUUGUCCGGAAUUAUUGGGCGUAAAGAGCUCGUAGGCGGCUUGUCGCGUCGAGUGUGAAAGCCCGGGGCUUAACCCCGGGUCUGCAUUCGAUACGGGCAGGCUUGAGUGUGGUAGGGGAGAUCGGAAUUCCUGGUGUAGCGGUGAAAUGCGCAGAUAUCAGGAGGAACACCGGUGGCGAAGGCGGAUCUCUGGGCCAUUACUGACGCUGAGGAGCGAAAGCGUGGGG
RNAcentral lists this ribosomal RNA (721 nucleotides) under Kitasatospora sp. SU1-1/45. RNAcentral describes it as "bacterial SSU rRNA". It matches the Rfam family "Bacterial small subunit ribosomal RNA", at positions 28 to 766 of the family's 1533-position model. The record is from RNAcentral. Lineage: Bacteria; Bacillati; Actinomycetota; Actinomycetes; Kitasatosporales; Streptomycetaceae.